This 440-nucleotide ribosomal RNA is filed under the name uncultured bacterium. Its description in RNAcentral is "partial 16S ribosomal RNA". It matches the Rfam family "Bacterial small subunit ribosomal RNA", at positions 339 to 795 of the family's 1533-position model. The record is from RNAcentral.
CUACGGGUCGCAGCAGUGAGGAAUAUUGCACAAUGGGGGGAACCCUGAUGCAGCAACGCCGCGUGGAGGAUGACGCAUUUCGGUGUGUAAACUCCUUUUAUAUGUCAAGAAAAUGACGGUAGCAUAUGAAUAAGCACCGGCUAACUCCGUGCCAGCAGCCGCGGUAAUACGGAGGGUGCAAGCGUUACUCGGAAUCACUGGGCGUAAAGGACGCGUAGGCGGGUUGGAAAGUCAGGUGUGAAAUCCUACAGCUUAACUGUAGAACUGCACUUGAAACUUCUAAUCUAGAGUAUGGGAGGGGGAGAUGGAAUUAGUGGUGUAGGGGUAAAAUCCGUAGAUAUCACUAGGAAUACCUAAAGCGAAGGCGAUCUCCUGGAACAUUACUGACGCUAAGGCGUGAAAGCGUGGGGAGCAAACAGGAUUAGAUUACCCCCGUAGUC